UAUGACACUUGGAGCUUGAUCGCAGAACCAAAAAUAAUGAAAACGAUCUGUCCAUCAGAUACGUGAAUAGUCUCCCCGAAGUAGUCACUGUUAAAUCAAAUAACGGAAUGUCUCAGCAGGGCUGCCGAAGUGUCCAUCCCUAAGUUCUACAACGCCAACUGAAGAAAUCUCAGGUUUUUACCAAAACUGCAGUGGUCUUCGGACCAAAUUAUUUAGUUUUAACCAUAAUGUCGCUUGUAUUAACUAUAUCUUUAUCAUAUUUACCGAAACUUGAUUAGUAGAUUUAAUCUCUGAUUCAGAGCUGGGUCUGCUAU
Molecule: non-coding RNA, 314 nt
Organism: Cinara cedri
Lineage: Eukaryota; Metazoa; Arthropoda; Insecta; Hemiptera; Aphididae
Source: the annotation of a GenBank genome assembly